UACAGAGGGUGCGAGCGUUGUCCGGAAUCACUGGGCGUAAAGGGCGCGUAGGCGGCUUCUUAAGCGUGUGGUGAAAGCGCGGGGCUCAACCCCGCGUCGGCCAUGCGGACUGGGAGGCUGGAGCACGUCAGAGGCAGGCGGAAUUCCGGGUGUAGCGGUGGAAUGCGUAGAGAUCCGGAAGAACACCGGUGGCGAAGGCGGCCUGCUGGGACGUGGCUGACGCUGAGGCGCGAAAGCUAGGGGAGCAAACAGG
Molecule: ribosomal RNA, 253 nt
Filed under: uncultured bacterium
Lineage: Bacteria
Description: partial 16S ribosomal RNA
Rfam family: Bacterial small subunit ribosomal RNA
Source: RNAcentral